RNAcentral lists this unclassified non-coding RNA (270 nucleotides) under air metagenome. RNAcentral's name for it is "partial contains small subunit ribosomal RNA, internal transcribed spacer 1, and 5.8S ribosomal RNA". The stretch from base 1 to 48 matches the Rfam family "Eukaryotic small subunit ribosomal RNA", at positions 1784 to 1831 of the family's 1831-position model. The record is from RNAcentral.
AAAAGUCGUAACAAGGUUUCCGUAGGUGAACCUGCGGAAGGAUCAUUAAUGAAUUUUAUGGCGGAAUUGUAGCUGGCCCCAACCGGGCAUGUGCACAUUCUGUUCAUUCCAUUCUCAUACACCUCUGUGCACUUUACAUAGGUUUGGUAUAGAAAAGGUCUUUAUUGACUUUGGAAAUACUGACCUAUGCUUUUACAAACGCUUCAGUUUUAGAAUGUCAUCCGCGUAUAACGCAAUAAAUACAACUUUCAGCAACGGAUCUCUUGGCUC